RNAcentral lists this ribosomal RNA (253 nucleotides) under uncultured bacterium. RNAcentral's name for it is "partial 16S ribosomal RNA". It matches the Rfam family "Bacterial small subunit ribosomal RNA", at positions 524 to 776 of the family's 1533-position model. The record is from RNAcentral.
UACGUAGGUGGCUAGCGUUGUCCGGAUUUACUGGGCGUAAAGCGCGCGUAGGCGGACCUGCAAGUCGGGGGUGAAAGCCCGAGGCUCAACCUCGGAACUGCCUUCGAUACUGCGGGUCUCGAGUCCGGGAGAGGUGAGUGGAAUUCCUAGUGUAGAGGUGAAAUUCGUAGAUAUUAGGAAGAACACCAGUGGCGAAGGCGGCUCACUGGCCCGGUACUGACGCUGAGGCGCGAAAGCGUGGGGAGCAAACAGG